GAAAAAUAUGUUACCUACAAAUUUUGCUUUCCUUUUAGCACUUUGGCUUUCAGCCUUCUUUCUUGAGCACGCAGAGUUAAGGAAACUCUCUCCUGAAAUCUACCGAACAUCAACUGGUUGUACGAAUUGCACGCUUUGUCAAUACCCAUGUCAUCCUCUUGCUCCACCACCCCCAUCGCUUCCCAACAACCCACCAUAUGGAAUACCACCUCCACCAUAUCCAAUUUCUGGUUAUCCUCCUUAUGGAACUCCGCCAUCUCAAGUCGAUUGCACACAAUUUCCAGACCAGUGCUGCCUUCACCCCCCACCAUAUCCUCUUGGAUAUCAGCCCUACGAGAACUAUGCUGCUUUCUGCUCUCCUUUUUUUUUCAUAUUAGUUGUGUCAUUGGUAUUCUCCAUUACAGUUAUGCUCUAGGUUUAUAUGCUUUAUCAUUCCCCAGGUUUCAUUGUCUAGGACUGUCUAGCCUAUCAAACUGUGAUUUGUAAUAAAGCCUUUGUUUCAGCACCAUAUUACUUGUUUUCAGUGUUCGACAUGUAAGCAGUUAUCCUGUUCGGUGUUAGGUUUCAUUAUUAAGGAGUACAUAAAACUGUGUGUGGUUUGUAAUGAUAAAGCCUUGCUAUUGAUGGCACUGCUCUUUCUUCUUCGUCUUAUUGUUAUUAUUAUU
This 665-nucleotide unclassified non-coding RNA is filed under the name Hevea brasiliensis (rubber tree). Lineage: Eukaryota; Viridiplantae; Streptophyta; Magnoliopsida; Malpighiales; Euphorbiaceae. The record is from RNAcentral.